Amphimedon queenslandica is the source of this 614-nucleotide long non-coding RNA. RefSeq lists it as uncharacterized. The transcript has 3 exons. The record is from RefSeq and is a predicted model, not a curated record. NCBI's taxonomy places the organism in Eukaryota, Metazoa, Porifera, Demospongiae, Haplosclerida, Niphatidae.
ACACAUGGAUAUGAAACAGGAAGUGCAAUAUACAGGAAUUUAUAUUGAUGACGUCACUAAUGCUGUGACUAUGCGGGUGUCGCUUGUAAAGAAGCUAAAGUCGGCUGAAGUGGACUUUCAUUUAUUCACAAACCUCACAGGCUUGCUGUACUGACCUUUUCUUUCAAGAAAUUUGAAAAUUUUAUUGCAAUUUCAGAUUCAUGGUGUGCCUAAAAAUACAGUGAGAAAAAAAUAGGACCAAAAAGAAAGCAUCACUCUAUGGAUACUUCUGAGCCCGUGGCCUGAAUUGAUGAUCUGUACGAUAUAGCAACAGCUAGUUCCUUCGUUUUAUACCACAAUGAUUCGUACAUGCAUAAUGAUGAUUACUCUGCAAUUGUAAAGUUGAUGGUCUUCAGAAUUGGUUUUAAUAAAAUUGCAGGAUCUCUAUAUAUUUCUUGCUCAUUGAUUUUAUCAUUGAUAGUUGUUAUCUUGAUUAUAAUAGCAUGAUUUAUACAUAAUAUGACUUCAACUUUUUCUUUUAAUAUAAUUAAGUUGAUGUAUUUGACAGUACAGUUAGAUUUGAUGGAGUUUGUAGCUAAAAUUCACCAAGUUUUGCAAUUUCUUCUAACAAACUA